AGAGACUUAGGAUAGUUCCAAACCAAGAGCCUUCAAAGCCCUAAACAGGGGUUAUAACCCCCUAGCCUCUG
This 71-nucleotide transfer RNA is filed under the name Sceloporus cautus. Its description in RNAcentral is "tRNA-Trp". It matches the Rfam family "tRNA". From Rfam's summary of the family: Transfer RNA (tRNA) molecules are approximately 80 nucleotides in length. The record is from RNAcentral. Lineage: Eukaryota; Metazoa; Chordata; Lepidosauria; Squamata; Phrynosomatidae.